CUCUGGGUCCUCAGGAUUCAGGGCAGAAGGAG
Molecule: non-coding RNA, 32 nt
Filed under: Bacillus sp. FJAT-26652
Lineage: Bacteria; Bacillati; Bacillota; Bacilli; Caryophanales; Bacillaceae
Description: L31-Firmicutes ribosomal protein leader
Rfam family: L31-Firmicutes ribosomal protein leader
Source: RNAcentral